Molecule: ribosomal RNA, 775 nt
Filed under: uncultured Neocallimastigales
Lineage: Eukaryota; Fungi; Neocallimastigomycota; Neocallimastigomycetes; Neocallimastigales
Description: partial large subunit ribosomal RNA
Rfam family: Eukaryotic large subunit ribosomal RNA
Source: RNAcentral
CAUAGCGACUAUCGUGGCAUAUCAAUAAGCGGAGGAAAAGAAACUAACAAGGAUUCCCCUUAGUAACGGCGAGUGAAGCGGGAAGAGCUCAAAUUUGAAAUCUUCAAGGGUUUACCUUUACGAAUUGUAGUUUAAAGAAGUGUUUUCUGUUGGAGUUUCGGUAAAAGUUCUUUGGAAUAGGACAUCAUAGAGGGUGAGAAUCCCGUAUUUGACCAUUAUUUUCAGCUGUGUGAUACACUUUCAAAGAGUCGGAUUGUUUGGGAAUGCAGUCCAAAAUGGGUGGUAAAUUUCAUCUAAAGCUAAAUACUGGCGAGAGACCGAUAGCGAACAAGUACCGUGGGGGAAAGAUGAAAAGAACUUUGAAAAGAGAGUUAAACAGUACGUGAAAUUGUCAAAAGGGAAGCGUUUGACACCAGUGUUGUUUUCUCGAAAAUCAAUUAAAAAUGGCGGGAUUUUGUGUUGUAUUGACUUUAUCAGCUUUCUGCACUUUUUUCCUAUCUUUUUUAAUGCACUUUUCGUUUAACAAGUCAACAUCAAUUUCUUUUGUUGUAAAAGGGUAUGAGGAAGGUGGCUUUCUUUUCGGAGAAAGUGUUUAUAGCCUUGUACCUCUGCAAUCGGAGAGAUUGAGGUCUGCAGCGUAGAUCCUUCGGGGUUAGAUACAUUUGUGCUAAGUUAUAGCUUUUCAUAGACAACUUGUUGACUAUGUUAAGUCUUGUAGCUUACUCGCUUAUGCUAUUUUACCUACGCUUAGGAUGUUGAUAGUCACAGCGUGUAC